RNAcentral lists this long non-coding RNA (244 nucleotides) under Phoenix dactylifera (date palm). Its description in RNAcentral is "long non-coding RNA (PDAC_LNC014208)". Lineage: Eukaryota; Viridiplantae; Streptophyta; Magnoliopsida; Arecales; Arecaceae. The record is from RNAcentral.
AAUUAGAAAAUCUACAUUGAUUUUCGUUCCAACAGAAUUUACUUCAAAUUCAAUAGGUUAGAACUGUUGAGCCAUUAUCACUAUGAGUAGGAAUUAACUCUAUCAACCUCCAAAUCCUUCUUCACCAAAAUUCUUAAUGUCUAUGAUCAAUGCUACACAUAAUAACUCACAUAAGCAUCUCAAAAUCGAAAUCUCUACUCAAUAUUUAUUUUACAAUGACAAAGAUUUCUGGUUAAAUCAUAAA